Molecule: long non-coding RNA, 498 nt
Organism: Alosa alosa (allis shad)
Lineage: Eukaryota; Metazoa; Chordata; Actinopteri; Clupeiformes; Clupeidae
Exons: 3
Source: RefSeq, a predicted model, not a curated record
GCGUGUGUGCUUUACAUGAGAGAGGUCAGGGGUUCAAGACUGAGUCGAUGGGUGUGAGGGAUGGGUAGGCUUGUCAUGGGAGGCGGAAAAAUGGCCAGCAGGAAGGUGUGCAGCAACCACUGGAAUGACCUCUUCCACCUCCUCCACUAACAGCUCCUCAUCAGCCGGCAGUGGGAUGUGAUCCUGAAGGGCCAUGUUGCAGAAGCGCCGCCACCAAAACUACACUGCACGCCUUUGCAGGAUGGAGCUUCAGGCCACCAGCGGAUUUGCUCACACACCUUUCCACAUGCCCAGGGCCCUCUCCACAACAACGCGGGUCCGGCUAUGGGCGUUGUUGUACCGCGCCUCUGCCUUGCUGUUGGGCUCCUAGAUGGAGCAGUUGAAAUGCUUGUAUUAUCAUAGGGGGUUGAUGGAAUAAAGUAGGUCUUGAAAUGUCAGUGCACUCAGGGAAUAUAGACAUGCAUUUGAAAACAACAGUAUAGACUUUGUUACUAUCUC